AUUCUGAAGGAGAAAAGCAAAAAUUUACAGCAAAUCAAAGAACCAGUGUUAAAUGAACUUUUCAAGGUCUCAGGAAGCAACACAGUGAUGUUAUAUAACCUGCAGUCUAGUGGGAGGACGCACGCUCAUUCCAGGUUCCCUCUGAAGCAGACACCAACACUCUGUUGGCAAAAUAAUGGGAGAGAUGGAAGCAAAAACACAAAAUGCUGGUUUGUUUCGCAUGCGAGCAUGCACCAGGUGCAGGUGAAGGCUUCAGGAAAAGAGGUAUAACUGCAUUUGGAUAUGACGCUGACAGCAGAAGAAAAAGUCACGCAAACAUUCGACAGGUGGAAGGUUUUUAACCUUCAUUUUCAUUCAUUCAUUUCUGUCUGUUUUGUUCAGUUGAGCUCAUUUUAUUAAGCAGAUUUUUGAGAUAUAGAGGUUUCUGUGAAGUCUUGAGUUGUACGAAUAGUGCAAUACGAAUAAAGUUGAUUCAUUUAUUGAAGUAUUUCAGAAAUAUAUGCGCUAAUGUUAAUGGAAAGGUGUAAAGAAUACAAAAAAUGAAGCCUGUUGUCACUUUGGCUAAUUGUUUUUUCUUUAAAAACACAUUAAUCUGUUAGUUAGAUAGUGACAAAACACAGUGUUGCACUAAAACUUGGACUUAUUUCAAAUAUAAACAGCAUUCCCUUGAAAAAUCUACUCUGCAGUGUCUACAGAGAGUCCUUUCCCAACGCUCCACGCCCGGCGUCUUACCAUUCCA
Oryzias melastigma (Indian medaka) is the source of this 739-nucleotide long non-coding RNA. RefSeq lists it as uncharacterized. The record is from RefSeq and is a predicted model, not a curated record. Lineage: Eukaryota; Metazoa; Chordata; Actinopteri; Beloniformes; Adrianichthyidae. The transcript has 3 exons.